Molecule: non-coding RNA, 1966 nt
Organism: Meleagris gallopavo (turkey)
Lineage: Eukaryota; Metazoa; Chordata; Aves; Galliformes; Phasianidae
Source: RefSeq, a predicted model, not a curated record
UCUGGAGACCCACUCUUCUGGAGUUUACCUCGCAAGUCUAGGUUAUGGCUGUCUAAUAUAAUUGGCACCCACAUCCUGUUUUGGGGCCUCUGUGUUCUAAAAUCAGAUUGUUGCCAGGUUUUGAUUUGGCAGCUUGCAAGAUAAAUGAAAGAUUUGGCUGAGGCAGAGGGUAUAACUGGCAGUGCUGUUUCAUCUCUGCAUUAGUGAAGAAAGGUAACCUUGAAUUGAAGUGAGCCUUCUGCCAGUAUCUCUGGUGUUUUGUUUGAAGAUGAGUGACAGCACAUUCUCACAUCUGCUUGCAACUAGCUCUGGAAUUUGCAGCAUACGUGUUUUUUGCCAAGCGGCUCUCUCCAAUAUGCGUAAGAGUCACUAGGUGGUGCUAUCUCAGAAGCAAGAGGGAAUUUGAAACUAUUAGCGCGGGUCUGCGAGAUACUGAAAUGUAGUUCUUAAAUACCAGUAAGAACAAAAGGAUGCCUUUCCCACUCCGGGAAGACCUUGUGUUUGAAGUAUAUUUAUAUAACUGUCAUUUCUUCCUCUGUCAAAAACUUAGCAGCUGCAAGAAAAUAAAUAUUAAAAAGACUAAGUUCUUAUACUAAUUUAAGAUCACAUUAAUCCCUGUAAUUUAUCAAACAUACUUAUCCCCUCUUAACAAAUGCUUCUGUUUCACAGUAGAAGACUAUGUAGUUUAAAAGGCCAAAAAUUAACAGCAGGGCUUUAAAUGCACAUUUGUAAUAGCGACUUAUGGUUAAAAGAGCGCAGAAUUAGUGAUAUAGAUGUCAGAACUUAAACAUUCUGGGAUUAGUUUUAUAGAUUGCCCAGCUUGUUUUUUUCUUCCUUCAGUGGAAAAUUAGGUGCAUUGAGUGCAGUUUGGAGUCUGAUUGUAUUUUCUAGGGACCUGAAUGAACGUACUCUUAACCUCCCAUUCUUUCAACUGCUGCUGGAUUUGUCACUUUUUGUACAUGCACAGUUUUUUUAGUGCUGAGGAUUCUGUAUAUUCUAAAACUAAAAUGAAAUUUACUCCAAAUAUGAAGAGAAAUAGAGCAUUUAAAAAAGCCUGCCACUACUCCAGUUGAAUAUGCAUGUUCCCAUUUAUAAGGCAUUCCUGUUUGUAGUGUUGGUUUAUUGCUGUCACAGCUAAAGCAUCAGAGAGGAAAGAAUUCAUGCAACCUAUAGAAGAGUCCACUUGAAAGAGAAGUGGGUUUAACGGAAAAGAUUAAGGAGAGCCCUGGUACAUUCACUACCAGUAGUAGUGAGGAGUCAGACCAUUUGACUCCAUUCUGAUACUUCAGAAUUUUUGCAGCAUCACGUUUAAAUGCUGAUAUCAUUAGAGUGCUUGAGGUUUUUAAACCCCCUAGGGUCUUUGUGACUGUAGCUUCCUCCUCCAGUUUUUGUGCUCACUUUAUAUUCCCCAACUGAUCUGACUGUGGGGAGGUAGGAAGGUGCAGGCUUCUCAGAAAAGUUGUAGCACAUCAUUCUCUACUUUUGAAACAUAAUCCCUGCAGACUUUUUUUCCCUCUAAAAUUCACGGACCCUUAGAGCUUUUGUCACGGUGACUCUGUUCUACCUUAGAUCCUUGAUGGAGAGAAUGGAGAGAGAGUUGCCACCUGGAGGGAGGAAAAGAAAAAUACUCCAGCCUUCUACUCCCAGAAUGGAGUCACAACAGAAACGUUUCUGUCACAGUUCUAAGGCUGUGUAGGGAUUGGGCUUGGCUGUGUAUAUUAGACUGAGCUGAGCACCAGUACUGCUAUAGCAGCAUCACCUCUGGCGCAUUUAGUAGCAUUGAUUGCUCACACAAUCAGAGUGUACAAUUUAUAUAUCAUGCGAGAUUAAUAAGGUCAUCUUGCACAAAGUCCCUAAAUAAGAGAGCUAGAGAACUGAAAGUGAAAGUUUUCAAAACCUUCACCAUAGAGUUAGGAUAUUUUAACAUGGGAGAAUCUUCAUCAAAGUUUGAGGAAAAUUUUUUCAA